This 2545-nucleotide ribosomal RNA is filed under the name Klebsiella pneumoniae. Its description in RNAcentral is "partial 23S ribosomal RNA". It matches the Rfam family "Bacterial large subunit ribosomal RNA", at positions 398 to 2925 of the family's 2925-position model. Lineage: Bacteria; Pseudomonadati; Pseudomonadota; Gammaproteobacteria; Enterobacterales; Enterobacteriaceae. The record is from RNAcentral.
UGUGAACUCGAAGAGUAGGGCGGGACACGUGGUAUCCUGUCUGAAUAUGGGGGGACCAUCCUCCAAGGCUAAAUACUCCUGACUGACCGAUAGUGAACCAGUACCGUGAGGGAAAGGCGAAAAGAACCCCGGCGAGGGGAGUGAAAAAGAACCUGAAACCGUGUACGUACAAGCAGUGGGAGCACCUUCGGGUGUGACUGCGUACCUUUUGUAUAAUGGGUCAGCGACUUAUAUUCUGUAGCAAGGUUAACCGUAUAGGGGAGCCGCAGGGAAACCGAGUCUUAACUGGGCGUUAAGUUGCAGGGUAUAGACCCGAAACCCGGUGAUCUAGCCAUGGGCAGGUUGAAGGUUGGGUAACACUAACUGGAGGACCGAACCGACUAAUGUUGAAAAAUUAGCGGAUGACUUGUGGCUGGGGGUGAAAGGCCAAUCAAACCGGGAGAUAGCUGGUUCUCCCCGAAAGCUAUUUAGGUAGCGCCUCGUGAAUUCAUCUUCGGGGGUAGAGCACUGUUUCGGCUAGGGGGUCAUCCCGACUUACCAACCCGAUGCAAACUACGAAUACCGAAGAAUGUUAUCACGGGAGACACACGGCGGGUGCUAACGUCCGUCGUGAAGAGGGAAACAACCCAGACCGCCAGCUAAGGUCCCAAAGUCAUGGUUAAGUGGGAAACGAUGUGGGAAGGCACAGACAGCCAGGAUGUUGGCUUAGAAGCAGCCAUCAUUUAAAGAAAGCGUAAUAGCUCACUGGUCGAGUCGGCCUGCGCGGAAGAUGUAACGGGGCUAAACCAUGCACCGAAGCUGCGGCAGCGACACUAUGUGUUGUUGGGUAGGGGAGCGUUCUGUAAGCCUGCGAAGGUGACCUGUGAGGGUUGCUGGAGGUAUCAGAAGUGCGAAUGCUGACAUAAGUAACGAUAAAGCGGGUGAAAAGCCCGCUCGCCGGAAGACCAAGGGUUCCUGUCCAACGUUAAUCGGGGCAGGGUGAGUCGACCCCUAAGGCGAGGCCGAAAGGCGUAGUCGAUGGGAAACAGGUUAAUAUUCCUGUACUUGGUGUUACUGCGAAGGGGGGACGGAGAAGGCUAUGUUAGCCGGGCGACGGUUGUCCCGGUUUAAGCAUGUAGGCUGAUUGUCCAGGCAAAUCCGGAUAAUCAAGGCUGAGGUGUGAUGACGAGGCACUACGGUGCUGAAGUAACAAAUGCCCUGCUUCCAGGAAAAGCCUCUAAGCAUCAGGUAACAUCAAAUCGUACCCCAAACCGACACAGGUGGUCAGGUAGAGAAUACCAAGGCGCUUGAGAGAACUCGGGUGAAGGAACUAGGCAAAAUGGUGCCGUAACUUCGGGAGAAGGCACGCUGGUGUGUAGGUGAAGUCCCUGCGGAUGGAGCUGAGACCAGUCGAAGAUACCAGCUGGCUGCAACUGUUUAUUAAAAACACAGCACUGUGCAAACACGAAAGUGGACGUAUACGGUGUGACGCCUGCCCGGUGCCGGAAGGUUAAUUGAUGGGGUUAUCCGUAAGGAGAAGCUCUUGAUCGAAGCCCCGGUAAACGGCGGCCGUAACUAUAACGGUCCUAAGGUAGCGAAAUUCCUUGUCGGGUAAGUUCCGACCUGCACGAAUGGCGUAAUGAUGGCCAGGCUGUCUCCACCCGAGACUCAGUGAAAUUGAACUCGCUGUGAAGAUGCAGUGUACCCGCGGCAAGACGGAAAGACCCCGUGAACCUUUACUAUAGCUUGACACUGAACAUUGAGCCUUGAUGUGUAGGAUAGGUGGGAGGCUUUGAAGCGUGGACGCCAGUCUGCGUGGAGCCAACCUUGAAAUACCACCCUUUAAUGUUUGAUGUUCUAACGUUGGCCCCUGACCGGGGUUGCGGACAGUGUCUGGUGGGUAGUUUGACUGGGGCGGUCUCCUCCCAAAGCGUAACGGAGGAGCACGAAGGUUAGCUAAUCCUGGUCGGACAUCAGGAGGUUAGUGCAAUGGCAUAAGCUAGCUUGACUGCGAGCGUGACGGCGCGAGCAGGUGCGAAAGCAGGUCAUAGUGAUCCGGUGGUUCUGAAUGGAAGGGCCAUCGCUCAACGGAUAAAAGGUACUCCGGGGAUAACAGGCUGAUACCGCCCAAGAGUUCAUAUCGACGGCGGUGUUUGGCACCUCGAUGUCGGCUCAUCACAUCCUGGGGCUGAAGUAGGUCCCAAGGGUAUGGCUGUUCGCCAUUUAAAGUGGUACGCGAGCUGGGUUUAGAACGUCGUGAGACAGUUCGGUCCCUAUCUGCCGUGGGCGCUGGAGAAUUGAGGGGGGCUGCUCCUAGUACGAGAGGACCGGAGUGGACGCAUCACUGGUGUUCGGGUUGUCAUGCCAAUGGCACUGCCCGGUAGCUAAAUGCGGAAGAGAUAAGUGCUGAAAGCAUCUAAGCACGAAACUUGCCCCGAGAUGAGUUCUCCCUGAGACUUUAAGUCUCCUGAAGGAACGUUGAAGACGACGACGUUGAUAGGCCGGGUGUGUAAGCGCAGCGAUGCGUUGAGCUAACCGGUACUAAUGAACCGUGAGGCUUAACCUU